This 424-nucleotide ribosomal RNA is filed under the name uncultured bacterium. RNAcentral describes it as "partial 16S ribosomal RNA". It matches the Rfam family "Bacterial small subunit ribosomal RNA", at positions 360 to 776 of the family's 1533-position model. The record is from RNAcentral.
AAUUUUUGACAAUGGGGUAAACCCUGUUCCACCAACGCCCCGUGUAUGACGAAGGCCUUCUGGUGGUAAACUGCUUUUAUACGGAUCGAAAAGUCUGUGUCAAUUAUCCUGGGAUCAUAACCGUACCGUAAUAAUAAGCGCCGGCUACCUACGCACCAGCAGCCGCGGUAAUACGUAGGGUGCAAGCGUUAAUCGGAAUUACUGGGCGUAAAGCGUGCGCAGGCGGGUUUGUAAGACAGUGGUGAAAUCCCCGGGCUCAACCUGGGAACUGCCAUUGUGACUGCAAGGCUGGAGUGCGGCAGAGGGGGAUGGAAUUCCGCGUGUAGCAGUGAAAUGCGUAGAUAUGCGGAGGAACACCGAUGGCGAAGGCAAUCCCCUGGGCCUGCACUGAAGCUCAUGCACGAAAGCGUGGGGAGCAAACAGG